Molecule: ribosomal RNA, 402 nt
Filed under: uncultured bacterium
Lineage: Bacteria
Description: bacterial SSU rRNA
Rfam family: Bacterial small subunit ribosomal RNA
Source: RNAcentral
GGGGAAAAUUGCACAAUGGGGGAAACCCUGAUGCAGCAACGCCGCGUGAGUGAUGACGGUCUUCGGAGGGGAAAGCUCUGUCUUUAGGGACGAUAAUGACGGUACCUAAGGAGGAAGCCACGGCUAACUACGUGCCAGCAGCCGCGGUAAUACGUAGGUGGCAAGCGUUGUCCGGAUUUACUGGGCGUAAAGGGAGCGUAGGCGGAUUUUUAAGUGGGAUGUGAAAUACUCGGGCUCAACCUGGGGGCUGCAUUCCAAACUGGGGAUCUAGAGUACAGGAGGGGAGAGUGGAAUUCCUAGUGUAGCGGUGAAAUGCGUAGAGAUUAGGAAGAACACCAGUGGCGAAGGCGAUUCUCUGGACUGUAACUGACGCUGAGGCUCGAAAGCGUGGGGAGCAAACAG